This 84-nucleotide transfer RNA is filed under the name Phycisphaerales bacterium. Its description in RNAcentral is "tRNA-Leu". It matches the Rfam family "tRNA". From Rfam's summary of the family: Transfer RNA (tRNA) molecules are approximately 80 nucleotides in length. Their secondary structure includes four short double-helical elements and three loops (D, anti-codon, and T loops). Lineage: Bacteria; Pseudomonadati; Planctomycetota; Phycisphaerae; Phycisphaerales. The record is from RNAcentral.
GCCCAGGUGGCGGAACUGGCAGACGCACCAGCUUGAGGUGCUGGCGGGAGCAAUCCCUUGGAGGUUCGAGUCCUCUUCUGGGCA